AGAGUUUGAUCCUGGCUCAGAUUGAACGCUGGCGGCAUGCCUUACACAUGCAAGUCGAACGGUAACGGGCCUUCGGGUGCCGACGAGUGGCGAACGGGUGAGUAAUGUAUCGGAACGUACCUUUCAGUGGGGAAUAACGCUCCGAAAGGAGUGGUAAUACCGCAUGAGACCGUAGUCUGGGAUGACUACGGUGAAACCUGGGGACCGCAAGGCCUGGGGCUAAAAGAGGAUCCUGCGUCUGAUUAGCUAGUUGGCGGGGUAAUGGCCCACCAAGGCGACGAUCAGUAGCCGGCCUGAGAGGGUGAUCGGCCACACUGGAACUGAGACACGGUCCAGACUCCUACGGGAGGCAGCAGUGGGGAAUUUUGCGCAAUGGACGAAAGUCUGACGCAGCAACGCCGCGUGGGUGAUGAAGGUCUUCGGACUGUAAAACCCUGUCGUCAGGGACGAAGGUUGGGGGGUUAAUAGCCCUUUAGCUUGACGGUACCUGGAGAGGAAGCCCCGGCUAACUCUGUGCCAGCAGCCGCGGUAAUACAGAGGGGGCAAGCGUUAUUCGGAAUUAUUGGGCGUAAAGGGCGCGUAGGCGGUUUGUUAAGUCGGAUGUGCAAUCCCCGAGCUCAACUUGGGAACUGCAUCCGAGACUGGAAGGCUAGAGUACUGGAGAGGUUGGUGGAAUUCCACGUGUAGCGGUGAAAUGCGUAGAGAUGUGGAGGAACACCAGUGGCGAAGGCGGCCAACUGGACAGUAACUGACGUUGAGGCGCGAAAGUGUGGGUAGCAAACAGGAUUAGAUACCCUGGUAGUCC
RNAcentral lists this ribosomal RNA (805 nucleotides) under uncultured bacterium. RNAcentral describes it as "bacterial SSU rRNA". It matches the Rfam family "Bacterial small subunit ribosomal RNA", at positions 8 to 796 of the family's 1533-position model. The record is from RNAcentral.